RNAcentral lists this ribosomal RNA (489 nucleotides) under Triticum aestivum (bread wheat). RNAcentral describes it as "partial small subunit ribosomal RNA". Lineage: Eukaryota; Viridiplantae; Streptophyta; Magnoliopsida; Poales; Poaceae. The record is from RNAcentral.
AUGAAGAUACUAGUUUGGAACUGUCGCGGGCUCGGGAAUGCACCGGCAAUCCAAGCCUUGUUGGAUGUCUAGCGAGCAUGUAACCCCGACGUGGUGUUCUUGUCGGGGACACACUUGGGGAGCUAUCCGGCAGAGUGUUUGAGAAGAAGAAUGAGGAUGGAUCAGAAGCUGGUGUGUGUUAGUGAUGGGAGAAAGGGUGGCAUGGUUCUUUUCUGGAAGAAGGAAAUAAAUAUUCAUAGAUUGGACUUGGAUCCCAUGUUCAUUGAUGUAAGAGUUGAAGAUGAAAAUAAUAGGCUAACCGGUAUGUAUGGUGAAUUCAAAUUGGAACAUAAGUACAAGACUUGGGAUUGUAUGCGACAACUUCAUCGGAAUAUUACACUGCCAUGGUUGCUGAUAGGUGAUAUGAAUGAGAUUCAAUUCUUGCAUGAAAAAAGAAGGGGGAAACCCAAGACCACAAUAAUAUAUGACAACUUUACAACAGGUAAUUGA